Molecule: long non-coding RNA, 6012 nt
Organism: Bombus terrestris (buff-tailed bumblebee)
Lineage: Eukaryota; Metazoa; Arthropoda; Insecta; Hymenoptera; Apidae
Exons: 3
Source: RefSeq, a predicted model, not a curated record
UCCAAUAAAUAGUCGUUCGAUGUCAUUCUAUUUGUUUUUCGUUUGUAGCUUUUGCUGUGAUGGUAGGUUGGUGAUAGUCAGGGACCUGGAUCAUGUAAUUUCAUACAGUAAUAUUAUUAUGUCAAACACGCUGGUGAACAAGUUUAAAAAUUGAAAUAUUUUUAUAAACGAAGGUAAAAAUAUCACUUGGCACGAAGAAAGAAACUGAGAAAACUUGUUGUAUGAAUCUCAUCAUUGAAACUAUUUCUAUCGAGUCCAAAUAACGCUGCGGAAUAAGAAAAUACAGAUAAAUGCAAACAUCUUUCUCCGAAAUAAAUUCAAAGUACAUUAUCUUACAUUAUAAAACUAAAACAGAUAUUAUUACUGCAUUUUAAUACAAUUUUAUUAAAAUAUUAGAGAAGCGAUAGGAUCAAUAAUGUUGCUGCUUCAGGUAUCUUUGUCAACUACAAUCAAAAUCAUCGAUUACGCUUUAAUGAAUAGAUUAUCAGGCGAAGGUCUUCCUUUUACCCUCGUCUUUCGUUUUUCUCCCCUUUUACGAAGUGGUUAUCAUUUCAUCAAAUUAUUUGGUACUUGAAAAGUCGUUAAGAUAAUUAUUUAAUGGAGUCUACGCUUUCACUCUAAAUCUUUUGCGGUCGAAUUAUUCUGACUUUAUUCGGAUGACACUUCGAUCCUCUUUAUCAAUCUUAAUAUCGUUGUGGAAUAACGAGUACGGUAAAAUAUCAUCGUAAAAGCCUUGAAAGUAUCGUUAGGAAAUCGAAAUUAGUAGGAAGUAAAAAAAUCAGUGAUCUUUCGAUUCUUGAACCUAUCCCGACGAGUAAUAUGUAUUACGCAUGGCAACUUGACAGAUAUAUCAUAGGUGUCAGGAUUCAAAUAUUUUUCAAAAUAUAAUAAGUCUCUUGAGAAACAUGAGGUUCGCUGUGGGAAUUCUUACACGGGACGAAUCCUGGAUUUUACGAUUCUCACGAAAGCUACAUCCAUCCUACAUGCGUAUAUGCAUACAUACAUAUAGAAAAAUCGAAUUUUCUUUUCGACUGCAGACGUGAUAUGGGUAACGUAUUGACCUUAAUAUUUAUGAAAAUAUUUUACGAAUAACUUUGUAUUUCAUAUACCUAUGUGUGACGUUCAUAUACGUUCAAGACUUUUGAAAUUGUACAUACUGUUAACUGUCACGAUGAAAUACUUAUCUUGUGCGAAAGAAUGUACAUUAUGACUUCAAAUUACUAUUUAUCUUAUCCUACCACCAUAGACACAGUUUGAAAUUAACGAAGAUUGUGUAAGUGGCUACGAGCAACGUCGGAAAUAAACCAAUCACGAAUAACUCUAAAUUUUAAUCAUAACAUCAAAGUGAUGUAACAAAGAAGGCCUAAACAAAACCAAAGUCGAGGACAAACACGAUGUGGAUGAAUAUCUACGCUGGUACGAAGGUAAAGAAAAGGACAAUAAGCGGAACAGAGACGAGGACAAUGUCGAAGACAGCGACGGAGAUGGUAAUAUUGUACAGCGCUCGUCGACAUAGCAAUAACAAUAAUGAAAGCUAGAAGGAUUCUCCGAUGCCCUUGAUGUCGAGGCACGAUCCCCCACCCUCGUCUUCAGUUUCGGCUCUUCAGCUUCCUGGGAGAUUAGCAUGAAGCUGGAGAACAAGCGAACGAAGGGGAUGAAGCAGGGGAGCGUAUAAUCGAAUAACUAAACGAUUGUGUUUGCAGCUGCUCGGGAAUACUCGAUUACAGAACAGAUUUUUAGUCGCUGGGUUUAUGGGAUAUUUUCCGUAUCAUGUUACAUGUGGAGUAUAUCAAAAUGAUAACUCCUGCAUUUAGUAAGCUAUCGUAUACAUUAUACGGCUAUUUACGCGUUUCAAUACAAAAUCAAAAUUGUGGAGAAACAAAACAAUUUCUAUAAACAGAAGCAGAAGCUUACAAGUAACGUUAAAUAUCGCUAUAGUUCUCGAAAGCAACAAAUCAAAUUAAAGAUACGAAUAUUGAUAAAAUAAAAAAAAACAGGUUCCUCGUUAUCUAUUAUACAAAGGAAAAGAAAUAUAAAAAUAAAAAAUUAUAAAUUCGUAUAAAUAUCUGUAACAAUAACCCAAUGAUAAAUAUAUCGUCGAUAAUUGUCUUACUAAAGAAGAUCGUGGUAGCAGACUGUAUAUCAAAUCGAACGAUAGAUUCGAACAUCGAGUUCAAAGAUUUAUCAGAAAUUUUCUCUCGUAAUCCGACCAUCCAUUAAAGACUCCACUGCAUCCCGCUUUUCCGCUUUUUCGAACUCUCAUUCCCUUUUAAAGCUGCAGACUACUCUCGCUUCAAUAACUUAUUUAAAUAUUUGUACCCAUUAGUCAGCUUCUCUUCUUUUACGACUUCCGCGAUCGGCAAGCACGCUUAGUUAAUAACACGGUUCGACGGAGCAGGCCUUACAGAAUUAUUAAUCUCGAUACUGAUCGUACCUGUAGCUUUAUCGUUGCCACAGAAUCGGCGGUCAUCGCGCGACUAGCUAGGUUCGCGAGACAGGUUCAAUUGGCCGUAUAGGUGAGAAAGCGGUGGCGUCGAGGUUGCGCGCCGUCGCGUCGUCGUCGUCGUCGUCGAAGAGUAAUUAGUACGCAACGGUCGUGCCGAUAGCAACUUGCGAUAAGGCUAAUCGAAUCGGGCCUGCAAAUUACUUUCCACCUCCGGCCCGGUCCGCCGGUAAUUGAAUAACGUCCUUACGUCGCGCGUAAUUCGAUUGCUUUCGGGAUAAGCAGAUACCAGACUUGAGAACUGAGUAGAAAAGAGUGCCAGUGCGGGAAGAAAUGCGACCAAGUAAGGCAGUGUGAAAUUACCGCUCGCGAUCUAUUAAACUUCACGGUCGCGUGCAAUUGAGAAGAGACAACGAAAUGUUAUCAGUUUACCAUCACAUUGAAUCGCUCGUUUGUGAUAUGUAUAGACUUGUAACAAAGACAUAGGAAUUUUAAUAUACAACUUUCAACUAAGAUAACAUUCAACUUGGACGUAUAUUAUUAAUGUCGCAUUUUAUUUAUUUUCUUCGUAUUAAAUUUCAAUUGAAUAUUCCAAUUUUUGUUUUGUUUUGGAAAUAUUAAAAUGGUUACUCUGUUAUUAGAGCGUACCAAGGAAAACAGUAACCUGUUUCUAUUCUUUGUAAUUUGAAAAUGUCUGUAGCGUGUAUUAGUGCUUUAAUAAAUUCUAUAAAUAUUCCUCUUACAAUUAUUAACUCUUAGACGCUUUGUUCAUCAAUUUAAUCUGUUUAACAAGUUUUGAAAAGCGAUUAAUUAAUUCUUUUAGUUUUCUAUUUAUCGACUCUUAACCUUGCUUAUUAUAAGCAAGCGUUUUACAUCUCUCUAGAUACCAGCGUUCAAACUGUCAGUGUUUAGAAACAAGACUAGUUUAAACAGCUUCAUCGGUUAGUGGUUCGCGUGGACCUGAGGUAUAAACUCGGAGUAAUGUAAUUAAGAAGCUUACCACUGGCUCGCUUCAGAUUUCCCAAUUGACGCUGAAAUUUUCAAACUGCUAUUAAUCAAUAUUUACGUUUCUUCCGAAAUUACCAUCGAGCAUAGCCAAUAUCAUGGUAUACAGGACUCUUAAAACAAUAACGAUGAUAAAUAUACUUUUCUCAGGUGCAGAUCCCGAAGGCGAGUAACACAAAAAGUUAUCCCUCCGUUAGAAAUAAAAAUGUUUCAUCAAAAUAUUUACCGUGUUUCAUUGUCUCGAUAGUCGGAUAAUGCUUAAAGAACAAGUAUCCACGAUUCAGCGACCGCUCUUGGUGGCUCCCCAUGAUAAUUACUAAACAAACGGACAAACGAGCAAGGUCCUUCUUCUUCGCUUUUUCCUGGUUGAUGCUCGAGAGCUCUCGAACAAUGUGGUCGCGUGACAAUGACGUACUUCGCUGAAUGACCGUCGAGAGAGACGCCGUAUUUGCAGACGAACUGCUGUGACGUACAAAGACAUUUCGAUGUGAUUGUCCGGUCUAACUCGCUUCUUCUCCUAAAGUCAUCAGUCGAAUGCCAGAAAGGAAAAAAAGAAGAAAAGAGGCAAAGGAGGUAACGAAGAUGCCGAGGAAGAGGAGACGGAGAAUGAAAUCGUAGUAAAGGGAGAAAAAGGGAAAAUGGAAAAUAUGGUGGAGGACAUAGAGAGUAGAGUGACAGGUUUCCUUAUUGGGACGAACAACUGUCUGACCAGUUCAGACUAGACCGAUAGAAAUACCGAAGAAAACGAGCACUACGAAGCGUUUCUGCAUAUAUAAAAUAAAGUUGAAUUCAGAGAGAGAGAGAGAGAGAGAGAGAGAGAGAGAGAGAGAGAAUGAUGUCGCUUGUGCUUCUUUGACAAUCGAAUUUCUCUCAACAGUAAAGAGAGAAUAUCCUGCUGUUUUAAACGUAAUAAUCAGAGAAAUCGAAAUACAAAAAGCUCAGUAGCGAUAAAAAAAUUACGUUAUCUCGUCCGGUCGACAGACAGCAACGAUACUUUUCGAACUCUGAAUUUCCAGUUCAAAGAAGCGGAAGGAUUGCAAACUAUGGCGCACGCGAAAAGUUGACUAGCUGGUUGGAAAGAAGCAGUUGGAGACAAAGGGAAGGGAACAAGAAGAAAAGAGUAAGAUUCGAAGAGAAACGGAAGGUCCAGAUGCAUUAUAAAGGGACAGACAGGGGGUACCCCAACUACCGGGGCAACUCGAGCUGAUGGAACUGACUGCAAAGAAAGCUGUCGGACACCAUAUCCUCGUGCAGAGGAUAGCAUGGGGGUGGAGAUGGUAUUGGGUCCUAACGGGUAGAUUGCACCGGUAGCUUCGGGCCACGUUACAGGGGAUCGAAGAUGGCGGCACGGGAUGAGAAUGCAGCUGGUUUCCUGGACGCUCGGCUCCGGGCAGCGUAGUCGAACGAGGGUGGUGGAUAGUAGUGGAGUAGGUGGAGAGACAGAAAAGGGAAUAACGCAAGAAAACGAAGAGGGCGGACAGCUCACGGUCACCGUACAGUAGGCGCUUAAUUGUGUCGCGGAAAUACUCAGACAGACGGAUUCCUUUAAUAAUGUGCCCGACGGCGCGCUCAACCGAUUCACCCUCUUGACGUUUUCUUGUUUUCUUCUUUUCUCUUACGCCCCCUACCGCCGCGCAUCUCCUUUCACCGGUUCCAAUGUCGCUGGUCUUCCCUGUGGUGCAUGCGACUGGACCGUGCAAUUAAGUACACAGCCUGAAGGACGCAUCUUCCACGGGUUCAGUAGUCUUGCACGAUCGAACCAUCCAACUACAAGUACAUGAUUAGGAAUAUUGAAAGAGUGAUUUCGUGCUAUCGAGUUAUCCGCUUUCCAAUACCGGCGAUGAAGGACUUUCCUUCCGAUGAAAAGCUUUCACGGUGAAAGGGAGGCAAUUGCAGCUUUCCCUGUUUCAGGCAGCCUUGCGUUACACGAAGGAGUCUGUUUUAUCCCUGUGGCAGUUUAAAGUUACGAACAACGUUCUGUACGGUUUGAAAUAGAGAAUCGCGGUGGUGAUCGAACUACGUUGCAAUUAUACAACGUUCAACGCUUUAAUGCUAAAUUUGUACACCGAGGAUGCGAUCACGAAACAUUUAGUUUUAUUAUUAGAUAGGUUUCGUUUUUCAAAUACGCAUGAAAUUGUAGCAACGAGAAUUUAACGCGACUGUUUAUUACGAAUGAUUUACUGACUUUCAGUCAAAAAUUCAGAUGAUCGAUUUAUUGGCAAACUACCAUUUUCAUAUCCUCUGUCACCGUUAUUUAUCUUGAUGAAACUUCGUAAUCGAGCACCUUUUGAUUUUUUCUCUUUAUUUCUUAAGAAUUAUUAACUACUUGAAAAUUGUCUUUCUUCUGAUUGAAUAUGACCUGAUAAGCUUUCUGAACGUCUUGCGAAACUUCAUUAUCGUUAAUCUCGUUAUUGUUAAAAAGUCAGAGAAGGUGGUAAAAAAAUAAUUAAUUCUUUAUUAUCCUUCAUUCCAUCCUGAUGAUUUCUUUUAUGUCACUAUUUUAUUUCUUAUAUACUGCUCAUUUUCUUAUUGAGAAUCUACUUAUACUCAUAGAGUUAAUUUAA